GUCUGUCUGCCCAUCUCUAGGACUGCUCCAAGGCCUCUGAGGACCAUGUUGGUACGUCUGGUGCAGUGUCGUUAGUCCAGAGCUCUUCCUAAGGCCUCCAGGCAUCAGUCAGAUGCCUCUGACCUGCUCUUCCAGGUGCUGUCCAGGGCUCCUCUCAGAGCCUGUUCAAGGCAAGGAGGAAGAACAACUAAGCAGAAUACUCUGUGGGUCUGACUGUUGUCUCCACUAAAGACUCACCUCAACCUCCUCCCUCUCCUCUGGUGAAAUGGAGGAGAGGUUUAUUAGCAGAGGAGUGCAACACUUCCAGUUUGCCAGGUAGGUGAUAAUUGCCGCAUU
Molecule: long non-coding RNA, 336 nt
Filed under: Apteryx rowi (Okarito brown kiwi)
Lineage: Eukaryota; Metazoa; Chordata; Aves; Apterygiformes; Apterygidae
Description: lncRNA (ENSARWG00000014620.1)
Source: RNAcentral